RNAcentral lists this unclassified non-coding RNA (1282 nucleotides) under Leishmania donovani. Its description in RNAcentral is "gene:LdHU3.07.0900(CDS-product:Qa-SNARE_protein_p utative)". The record is from RNAcentral. Lineage: Eukaryota; Euglenozoa; Kinetoplastea; Trypanosomatida; Trypanosomatidae.
UAUUGAGCCCAGCAAACGCUCUUCUCCGGUAGCUUCGCCCACGUCUCCCCCUUCCCCUGCUCCCCCCCAAACCUGCCACCGAGGUUACACACCUACACACAGCAAGCACAUACACGACCUCCCCUCCUCCGCGCCGCCCUUCCGAAUGCGCGCAGGGGUGAAUGCGAAGCUGGGUGGCGGCAAUGAAAGCACGCUGAUCGAGCACAUGAAGGCUUCCGUGCAGCCGUCCACCGCGGCAGCCGCGGAGACGCAACGGGCGCCGCAACUUGCAGCUGCCGCGAAUCUGCAAAGUGGCUACAGCGGCAUCGGCAGCGGCCCCAGCGCAGCGGUGCCGCCGGCCGACUCCGCCGUAAUCUCCUCCUCGACGACCGCACAGCAGACGCGCGAGAACAUCGAGCGCGCGCUUCGCAUGAACGAGGCCACGAACAACUCCGGCUACGCUACUUUGCAGUCGCUGGGAAAGCAGCGCGAAGUCAUCCAGAACAGCCUCAACACGGUAGAUUCGACGCACCAACAUCUUAGCGACUCCCGCCAGGUAAUCCGCGACAUCCGCAUGGGCGUGUAUAAGGAGUGGCUCAUCAAGGGAUGCGUCGUUGCGUUUCUGAUGCUCCUGAUCGUUGUCAUUAUCUAUUCGAAGUUCAUUCGGAAGUAGGAAGGAACGUCACGUUCGCGGCGUGCGCGCGUGUGUGUGAACCCAUGCGUGAGCGAUGGAUAAGUGCGUCCAGGUCUCGGUGAAGGAGAUGAGGAAUACACAGACACGCCGAGCGAUGUGUUCUCAUGGCGACACGGGCCAGUAGCCAAACCUGCGGAGGUGGAGGAGAGAGAGCAGGCGGCUCACGAACUUGCCAUUCUCCUGCCACACCAUGUGCGCGAUGAUGAUUACGUUAUUUUGGUGCAAGCAAGACGCCUUUCCUUCCCUCAUCAUCGUCAUUGCCAGCGUGUCGCCGCUGUGGCUCUAGACGCCCUGGGCAGUCGAGGCGGUCUCGCUAGCGCCUCCGUCACACAGCCCCAUUCCGCAGUGUCAGCGCGCAUCAGCAUCCUCACCGCAACUUGCUCAUCGCUCUCGUAUUGUUUUUUAGUGCUUCGGCGCAUAUUUGCUUUCUUCGUGCUCACUGCCUGCCUGCCUUGCUCUCCAUGCCUCCUGGGUCUCCGUAUGCCUGCACACAUGUGUUUGAUGUCUGCUCCUCCUGCGCAUGUUGGAUGCGGAUCUCUUUGGAGCGCUCCGUCCGCACUCCUCGACACCCAAGCGCGUGCGCAGGUGUGCGCAGGUAUUACACAAGCC